Arachis ipaensis is the source of this 1681-nucleotide non-coding RNA. The record is from RefSeq and is a predicted model, not a curated record. NCBI's taxonomy places the organism in Eukaryota, Viridiplantae, Streptophyta, Magnoliopsida, Fabales, Fabaceae.
UGGGGGCCAAAUAUCUACACCUAAAUGGUGAAGUAGUCUUGGCAAUUGUUUGCUCUUUUUAAUUGAACAUCAAUCUUCAAAUUCCAUCAAUCCACCCCUUUUUUUCCUUUCCUUUCCCUUCAGCCUUGACUUUGGAUCCAAAAACGCAGAUAUCGAAACCGUUUUGCUCAACAGACUCUGUUUUCUGUUUUAUCAGUAGUGCGCUGCACACACACACCAACACUUAACAGAAACGGUUACAGCAACCGUAACAAAAAAAAAACAUGGGAGAAGAGGUUAAGAUCGCCGACUACCCAGGCGGCGGCGCCGACGACGAGCGCGUUUCCGAGUGGGAGCUUGGCCUCCCCUCUCCCGCCGACCUUCCGCCUCUCUCUCAGGCCCUGAUCCCGCCGGAGCUUGCCUCCGCCUUCAGCAUCUCCCCGGAGCCCUACCGGACUCUUCUCGACGUCAACCGCGCCUCGCAGGACACCAUCUCCGCAAUUCGCGGCGGCGCCUCCCAGGCCUUCUCCUCCAGCAAUUUCCAACUCGACGACCGCGCCACCGUGUUUGAGCCCGACGCCACGGCGUUUGCCGAUGAGGAAUUAGAGCCCGAUCGAGAUGGCUCCGGCUCUGAUUCCAGGAAGCUCCGGAAGAUCGACAGCGCCGCCGAGGAGGCCGAUUCGGCAGCGCCACCGGCCAACGACGAUCCUUCCGCCCGGUCAAUGAAGCGGCCGCGCCUCGUGUGGACGCCUCAGCUUCACAAGCGCUUCGUAGACGUGGUAGCGCACCUCGGAAUCAAGAACGCGGUUCCGAAGACGAUUAUGCAGCUAAUGAACGUAGAAGGAUUGACUCGCGAGAACGUUGCGAGCCACCUUCAGAAAUAUCGCCUUUACUUGAAGCGAAUGCAAGGGUUGUCCAACGAAGGUCCUUCUUCUUCUGAUCAGUUGUUCGCGUCGACUCCUGUGCCGCAGAGCUUGCACGAGUCCGGCGGUGCUGGCGGAAGCGCGGGGCAUUCCCAUGGAAACGGACACCUUCCGGUUCCAAUUCCGUUGCCGUAUCCAGCUCCUCCGGCGAUGAUGCCAAUGCCGAUGCUCGGGAUGCCUCCGAUGAGUAUGGCCGUAGGGAACCACCACGGAUUCAACCCGUUGGCGCAGCAACGGGAUUGGUCCGGUGCGAAUAAAUUUGGUUCCGUUGUUUCGUACCCUCAGAGUCACAGUCAGGGCGUCACUCCUAGUGAUAAAUGAAUUCCAACUUUUGAAUUUCUCAUCUCACUAUUAAAGAAAUAGAAUGAGUAAUAUGUAUGCAUCUUUGUUUAUAUUUUCGGUGUUUUCCAAUGUGAUUAUGCCGAGGGUGAGGUGAAAUGAUGCAGUUCUGUGAUGUUGUCGUCUAUGAUUGUGAAGAUUCAAAUGUUAAAUUAAUGGUCAUUCCUUCAAGUCAGUUUCGGAGGUAGCUCCACGGAUGAGCAACUUCAUAAUUCACAUGCAGACAUCAUGGAGCCAAAACUACAGUUUAAAUAGUACAUACCUAUUCAUUUGCAUCAUAUUGUAGCAGCAAUCUAUCAUGUGGUCUGCCCAAGUGACAGCUGAUUCUAAAGUAAAUCCCUAAUUUUUACUUUGAUUCAUAACUACUAUCUAUCUAUUACGUUUUGUACUCCUGAAUACGUUUGAUUCAUAAGGAAAAUAUUUAAGCCACGCAUUUUAUA